This 559-nucleotide ribosomal RNA is filed under the name uncultured Methanosaeta sp. RNAcentral's name for it is "bacterial SSU rRNA". It matches the Rfam family "Archaeal small subunit ribosomal RNA", at positions 320 to 879 of the family's 1478-position model. Lineage: Archaea; Methanobacteriati; Methanobacteriota; Methanomicrobia; Methanotrichales; Methanotrichaceae. The record is from RNAcentral.
GCCUUACGGGGUGCAGCAGGCGCGAAAACUUUACAAUGCCGGUAACGGCGAUAAGGGAACCUCGAGUGCCAGGUUACAAAUCUGGCUGUUGUGAUGCCUAAAAAGCAUUGCAUAGCAAGGGCCGGGCAAGACCGGUGCCAGCCGUUGUGGUAACACCGGCGGCUCGAGUGGUAACCGUUAUUAUUGGGUCUAAAGGGUCUGUAGCCGGCCGGAUAAGUCUCUUGGGAAAUCCAGCAGCUUAACUGUUGGGCCUUCAGGAGAUACUGUCUGGCUCGAGGCCGGGAGAGGUGAGAGGUACUUCAGGGGUAGGGGUGAAAUUUUGUAAUCCUUGAAGGACCACCAGUGGUGAAGGCGUCUCACCAGAACGGACCUGACGGCAAGGGACGAAAGCUAGGGGCACGAACCGGAUUAGAUACCCGGGUAGUCCUAGCCGUAAACGAUACUCGCUAGGUGUCGGCCACGGUGCGACCGUGGUCGGUGCCGUAGGGAAGCCGUGAAGCGAGCCACCUGGGAAGUACGGCCGCAAGGCUGAAACUUAAAGGAAUUGGCGGGGGAGCAC